UGUUUUAUCGAGUGUAUAUGAAAUCAGAGACAGCGUUGACAGGUUCAAAUUCAGAUUUUCGAAAAGACACUACUUCAUAGACCAACAAAAUGGGGGGGGGGGUUCUAACUGAGUGUCAAUCACUGCUCAUACAUACGCAUUCAUUCUCCCUUGUGGGGGGAGGGGCUUAGGAAACUGUUUUGGGCUUUAGCAGAAAGGGGGGAGGGACUGAGAAGUUGUCGAUGUUCAAAAAUGGCUACGUCCUGGAUCUUCGCAAUCCUGCCUACGGCACCUUUUAUCUAUUUAAUACCCCCAUAUUUGUGGUUUCAUAAUGGAAACGGUAAUAGAUUGUAAUACAUUAUGGGAUUUUAUAAUGGGUUUUCUGUAUAAAUUAAUUUUAGGUUCAUUAAUUCAUAAAUGUAUUGAUAUAUUAUAAGUCAGUUGGUUUCCAAUUGAUUAUCUGCGUGGUUCAGGAAGUUUUGAGGGGUUGAAAAAACACUUUUACCAUUUAUCAAAUAGCAUGACAUUUUCACCAUAAUUGAAAAAUGAAGACCCUUUUUUUAAAUUAAAGUAAGAUAUUACUGUAAU
Molecule: long non-coding RNA, 567 nt
Organism: Sander lucioperca (pikeperch)
Lineage: Eukaryota; Metazoa; Chordata; Actinopteri; Perciformes; Percidae
Exons: 3
Source: RefSeq, a predicted model, not a curated record